RNAcentral lists this ribosomal RNA (253 nucleotides) under uncultured bacterium. RNAcentral's name for it is "partial 16S ribosomal RNA". It matches the Rfam family "Bacterial small subunit ribosomal RNA", at positions 524 to 776 of the family's 1533-position model. The record is from RNAcentral.
UACGUAGGGGGCAAGCGUUGUCCGGAUUUAUUGGGCGUAAAGAGCGUGUAGGCGGUUAGGUAGGUCCGUUGUGAAAACUCGAGGCUCAACCUCGAGACGCCGAUGGAAACCAUCUGACUAGAGUCCGGAAGAGGAGAGUGGAAUUCCUGGUGUAGCGGUGAAAUGCGUAGAUAUCUGGAGGAAUACCGGUGGCGAAGGCGGCAUCCUGGACCGAGAUUGACGCUGAUGAGCGAAAGCUAGGGGAGCAAACGGG